RNAcentral lists this signal recognition particle RNA (299 nucleotides) under Cebus imitator (Panamanian white-faced capuchin). RNAcentral's name for it is "Metazoan signal recognition particle RNA (ENSCCAG00000013916.1)". It matches the Rfam family "Metazoan signal recognition particle RNA". From Rfam's summary of the family: The signal recognition particle (SRP) is a universally conserved ribonucleoprotein. It is involved in the co-translational targeting of proteins to membranes. Lineage: Eukaryota; Metazoa; Chordata; Mammalia; Primates; Cebidae. The record is from RNAcentral.
ACUGGGUGUGGUGGCAUGUGCCUGUAGUCCCAGCUACUCAGGAGGCUGAGGUGGGAGGAUCGCUUGAGCCCAGGAGUUCUGGGCUGUAGUGCGCUAUGCUGAUUGGGUGUCCGCACUAAGUUCAGCAUCCAUCUGGUGACCUCCUGGGAGUGGGGAACCACCAGGUUGCCUAAGGAGGGGUGAACCGGCCCAGGUCAGAAACAGAGCAGGUCAAAACUCCCAUGCUGAUCAGUAAUGGGAUUGUGCCUGUGAAUAGCCACUGCACUCCAGCCUGGGCAACAGAGUGAGACUCUGCCUCC